CCAUGAUCGUGUUUAGUCAGAUAAGUUGAAUGGAAGCAAACAGAAUAAUGAUAUUUAUUAUUUUUGUUUGCUGUCUUUCCUUUUUUUAAACCCAACAUCUGUCAUUUCAUAUCCAGCUGUUCGUAUUUUGAGCUGCAGGCCUGCAGCUGCUCCGCUAGCUCCGUGUUUGGUCUCACCUGCUCCUGACAGGGCAGACUGCAUGGACACAGGAGGUGUGGCAUCAGGAGGUGUGGCCUCAGGAGGUGUGGCCUCAGGAGGUGUGGUCUCAGGAGGUGUGGUCUCAGGAGGUGUGGUCUCAGAGGUUUGGCUUCAGGUGGUGUGGCCCCAUAGGGGGUGUGGUCUCAGAGGUGUGGCCUCGAGAGGUGUGGCCUCGGGAGGUGUGGCUUCAGGAGGUGUGGCCACGGGGCUGAAAACACCUGAAUUCAAAGAUAAUGAGCUGUGGCCCAAAACGUUUGUCUGUGUAGAGUUUAAGCUCACUGGGUCUGGAGUGUUUUUGUUCUUUGAUUCUGAUCAUUCUGUUAUUUUAUGGUUUUUCAUGGUUUAGUUUGUAUUUCUGCUCCUUUACUGUUCUUGUGCCUCCCUUGUGUUACGUCUAGUCGUCCUUGUCUCCAUGUUGGUGUAUUUCCUGUUCUACUUUGCCGUGUCCUGUGUUAGUCUUUACAGUGUUGCUCUCCCUCCCGUCUCGUCAUGUCCGAUUAGUUUCGGCUGCGUUCCCCUCCUGUUUCCUGUUUCUGUGUAUUUCCCUCUGGAUUACUUCUGCUUCGUAUCCAAAAUAACUUUAUUGCCUUUGCUUCUCUUAUUGCCCGAAAAAGAAUUUUGUUGUCGUGGAAAUCAUGUCAGCCAGCAUUAAAGUCUGGUUACACGACAUCCUAGGACUCCUAAAACUGGAGAAGAUAAAUUCUCCCUCAGAGGCUCAUCUGAUAGAUUUGUUACUCACUGGAAACCAUUACUUAAAUACUUACCGUAGCUUCCAGCACAAGAAAUCUCUUUGUAGUCCAUCAUACGCCCGUGCACAAACGCUCCAGCUGCUUCCAGCAGUGGCUGUUCCACCUUGUAAGAUUACUUCAUUUAGGAUACUCCAGCAUUAUCGAUUUACUUUGACUGAGGAGCAAAUGUCAUUAAUAUCGAUAUUAAUUAGAGUUAAUUAAUGUUGAUUAAUGUCAAUAUGAAUUCACAGGAAUGAGCCCUUUAUUGUUGGUCUUCAUUAUUUGUUUUGAUGUAUGGGUUAAUGUCACGGCUAGACGGUCCUCACCGGUAGCCUUGCCAAUUUUUGUUGUGUUAGUGUGUACUUUGUGGUGUUCUCCUCUCCAUCCUGUGCAUGUGUGUUUGUAUGCUGGAACAUGUACUUCUGGAAGCCGUGGCACGGAAUGGCAGCUGACCCGGGGGGAGGAUCCUGAGCUGGAAUCGUCGCACCUGUGCGUAAUCGCUUCGCCGGCUGCUACUAAUCCGAAGCAGACCUAUUUAACGGUGCAGUCGAGUCACAACCAACGCUGGAACGUCGAGCUAAACCGGGAUCCAGGGAUCGGAGGAGGAGCGGGCACAAGUCACUGCACUGUCACCACGGGGAGAAGCCACCGUGUCACUGCACUGCCCUUUUUGGAUUACAGACUCAAACUGUUGCCUUAUUUUUUCACUGUGAAUAAAUUCACUGUCACUCUGCAAGGAGUCUCGCACCUGAGUCCUUUAACCCAAUUCACCGUGACAGUUAAUCCAUCUUUCUGUAACAUAGUCACCUUCAAAUUAUUGGGGGGUAUUCAUGCCAUCUAUGUUAUUCAUGUUUACUGGAUGUUAUAAAGAAAGAAGAGACGAUCAUUUCUGUCUGUACCUUUGUGCUUAGUGUCUGCAUUUGAUAAUAAAACGAACACAACAGCAGUUUAAAUAUCAGUGCGUCGAAUUCAGACGUCACAACAUUUAAACCGAGUUUCAUUUGCAUCUAAGUGACAGACUCCUGUUUAAAAAGCGUCAGAAUUUCAUUUUUCUUGACUUUAUUCACUUUGUGAACGUUGAUAAACU
Astatotilapia calliptera (eastern happy) is the source of this 2013-nucleotide long non-coding RNA. The record is from Ensembl. Lineage: Eukaryota; Metazoa; Chordata; Actinopteri; Cichliformes; Cichlidae.